This 490-nucleotide ribosomal RNA is filed under the name uncultured bacterium. RNAcentral's name for it is "partial 16S ribosomal RNA". It matches the Rfam family "Bacterial small subunit ribosomal RNA", at positions 30 to 507 of the family's 1533-position model. The record is from RNAcentral.
AUUGAACGCUGGCGGCAGGCUUAACACAUGCGAGUCGAACGGUAACAUAGAGAAGCUUGCUUCUUUGAUGACGAGUGGCGGGCGGGUGAGUAAUGCUUGGGAAUCUGGCUUAUGGAGGGGGAUAACUACGGGAAACUGUAGCUAAUACCGCGUAAUAUCGAAAGAUUAAAGUGUGGGACCUUCGGGCCACAUGCCAUAGGAUGAGCCCAAGUGGGAUUAGGUAGUUGGUGAGGUAAAGGCUCACCAAGCCGACGAUCUCUAGCUGGUCUGAGAGGAUGACCAGCCACACUGGGACUGAGACACGGCCCAGACUCCUACGGGAGGCAGCAGUGGGGAAUAUUGCGCAAUGGGGGCAACCCUGACGCAGCCAUGCCGCGUGAAUGAAGAAGGCCUUCGGGUUGUAAAGUUCUUUCGGUAGCGAGGAAGGUGGUUAGUUUAAUAGGCUAGCCAAUUGACGUUAACUACAGAAGAAGCACCGGCUAACUCCGUG